UGUCCGAUUCAUCUGAAAAUUUCAGGGCAGAUAGAUCUUGACCUGAUGAACAAUUUUACUAUGUCAGAUUUGCUCUAAAUGCUUUGGUUUUUGAGUUAUAACCCAAAAACUGCAUUUUACCCCUAUGUUCUAUUUUUAGCCAUGGCGGCCAUCUUGGUUGGUUGGCCGGGUCACCGGACACAUUUUUUAAACUAGAUACCCCAAUGAUGAUUAUGGCCAAGUUUGGUUAAAUUUGGCCCAGUAGUUUCAGAGAAGAAGAUUUUUCUAAAAGAUUACUAAGAUUUACGAAAAAUGGUUAAAAAUGACUAUAAAGGGCAAUAAUCCUAAAGUGGUCAA
Molecule: long non-coding RNA, 336 nt
Filed under: Mytilus galloprovincialis (Mediterranean mussel)
Lineage: Eukaryota; Metazoa; Mollusca; Bivalvia; Mytilida; Mytilidae
Source: RNAcentral